RNAcentral lists this small RNA (780 nucleotides) under Histoplasma capsulatum. RNAcentral's name for it is "hypothetical RNA". Lineage: Eukaryota; Fungi; Ascomycota; Eurotiomycetes; Onygenales; Ajellomycetaceae. The record is from RNAcentral.
UCUGAUUGAUUUUUCUCUAUAUAUAUAUUUCUAUUAUUUUAUUGAGCUUUCUGUAAAUCUUUUUAUUGAAAAUAUUGAAUCAGUACAUCAGACUCUUUAUAAGACAGAGAUAUACUUCAUAUUUCUAUAUAUUUAUUUUAAAAUUUUAAAGUUUUUGAUACAGAUUAGACUGGCCGUGUGACCAUGCAUGGGACUGGGACCAAAUUUUUCCUCAGUCCCAUUAUUAGAUAUCUUAGUCCUGGUCCCAUAUAGUGUUUAGCAAAUUAGUCACUUUACACUGUUUAUAUUAUAAAUCUAGUCCCAGAUCAUGUUUUACUAAUAAAUUAGUGAUUCUGAUCCCAUUUGGUCCCAUUUUACAAAAUGGGACCAAAUGGGACCAUGAUUUACCCUAUAUAGGUUGGCAGCGAUAGAUAUUGGCAGCAGUGGGUAGGUUGGCAGCAGCACUAAGCAAGAUAGAGGUAAUAUCUCCACCAAUCAUAUCAUCAGAUUGAUGUAUUAUAUAAUCAUCAGAAUGGGACCAAACUUGAGUCAAAAUCAUGAUCAGUCCCAGAUCAUGUUCUGAUUUUGAUAGUCAGUCACUUUACAUGGAAUAUCAAGAUUUUUUAGUCCCAUUUCACUCAUGUUUUGAUAAUUCUAGUCACUUUACACUCCCAUUCUGGUCCUGGUCCCACUAAAAUCAUGCCAAGAAAUGGACUGGGACCAAACCAAACCAAACCAAAUGUGUAAUUCAUGGUCCCAGCGGCCAGUCUAAUACAGAUUAAGUUUUAAUUUUUAUUGUGU